UGGACGCGCUGCUGUGCAACGUUUGUGGAAGCUGAAUUAGUGAGGAUGACUCCUGCUCCUGUCAUCUCUAAACUCCUCACACAUCUUUACCUGCACAUGAGGAAGAUCACUCCUGUAGAAUGCAGAUGUUCAGAGGGAGAUGAUACCACAUCUGGUCCAGCUGAUGGAAGGUCUUGAAGUUCUCUGACUGGCCUCGACUGAAGAUGGUCGUCUCACUGGAUUUAAGGUUCAGAUGCUCAGUAACAAACUCCACCAAUGUGCCAACAGGGAAGCUUUAGGUUUAUUAAAUGUUGCUAUGAAGGUUUUGCUGUUUUUCUUUGUGAAUGCAAUGUGCUCCAACUGAAACUUGAAUUAGAACUUAGAAGUAAAUCCUUCCAUCUGAAACGAUUUAGUUGCAUUAAUAACCUCAUAACAUUCUAAUUUUUAUUCCAGUCUUGGUUGGAAAUAGAAUCUCUGUAUUGAUUCAGGUAAAAACUGAACUUCACAGCAUGUUGGAGCAAAACAACCAGAUGAAAACUGUGAUGAUGUUGGAUUGUCAGACUGUAAUGUUGCAGCUCAAAGCAGCUUUUCUAUCUCAGUUCAUUCUGACAUUCAGCUAUGAAUCAACACAGCGGAUGGUGAUCCACGCUGUGGAAGUCUCACAUCUCCUGAUGUAAUGGAACUUCUGCAGAGUCCUGGUUCCAGAACAUGAUGAUAGAAUUAUAGACAAACUUUAACAAAAGCUGUCUGAGAGUUUACAGGUUUUUAUGUUAGAUUUCUUCAGUAUUUUAAUGAGAGUUAUCAGCAAAAAUCAAGGGUUAAUUUGAUGAACUUGAUUUCCUAAAACAUCCAGAAUUGGAGCUCAUAUCUUUGGCAGCUGUAAAGUUUCUGCUCCUUCAAAGUUCACAACACAAUGAAUUAAUUCCUAAAACACUCUCAAUGCUGGAGAGCGUUUGUGAUGCUGAAGCAGUGAUCAGUUUUUCUGUUUCUUCUCUGGAGAUGCACAAUGAGGGACGUCUGCAGAGACUGAGAAAGAGUCUCACCACAUCCUGACAUGAGGAAAAAGACUUUAUUGAAGACUACAAUGAGAAAAACUAUCAGAUAGCAGACGGCUGCAUUCAAGUCUGUAGCUGCUGAAUUCAUGGAUGAAUCAUCUGGCACUAGAGAAGAAGACCAUCAAACAUCCACGUCAGCUGAUGGAGGUCCAAGAGUCUCAUCUAACAACCAACCUACAGAGUGAAGACCUCGAAUCUGAUUGGACGGCCUCCUAUUCAGCCACGCUACAGGAGGAGCCCUAUGAGGACGAGCCGGUCCACCUGAUGGUGGCCAGUCGCUGCGGUUCAAAGCCAACACCGACUACGUGGACUUGUACUGGACCACAUGGAGGCCUUCAAACCGGACCCAACAAGUUCACCGACUCCCCGACUCGUGGGUCUGAGGACGCCGCCGAGCCUCGGUCCAGCCGGCCUCCUGUCUGUGGGUGUUUGAGUGCUGAGAGGGAUUACCACAGACCUGACCGUGAACACCGUUGACACCCACCUGAGGGAGACGCUGCCUGAGAUCUCAAGGCUGCUUGGUCGUGGUCUUUCUGGUCCUGCUCCAGAACGCCUUCAUCAACUACGUCUUCUUCUGAAGAGGCCCUCAGAUGCUGCAAUCUCUAACCUUAAGGAAGAACUGCUAAUUUCACUCUGUAACGAGACGGCGGUUAUUUUAAAGACCCAGCUCCUGGCGGCUUUGAGUGAAAAUAACUGGAGCCUUCAAUUGGCUCCUGCUGGUCAUACUACAACUCUUGGUUUG
Amphiprion ocellaris (clown anemonefish) is the source of this 1776-nucleotide long non-coding RNA. NCBI's taxonomy places the organism in Eukaryota, Metazoa, Chordata, Actinopteri, Pomacentridae. The record is from Ensembl.